CUCCAGUGUUGAAAUCCUGGUGUUAAGGACUUUUAGAGUAAAGUGUUAAUUUUCUGGUGUUGAAUUUCAAGGGAUUAACACUGCUAGUGUAAACCACACUCUCUGGCUGGUGAAAAUAUGUGGAGUUAUACACCAGAGAUGCUUUGAGAACACCGAGAGUGUUACUAGUCACAUCCGGGACAUUUACGCGCUGGGCGGGACGAAACGAGUUGAAACUUUCUUCACAGGCGCCAUUUUCUUUGACUCGAGUCGCAAGACAUGCGAGGAGGAAACACGCAUUUAUUAUGCGUUAAAUCGCAUUUAUAUAUUCAUUUUAUAACACCAUAUUGUUUUAUAACAAUAUGUAUGUGCUGUGGACGAGCAAACCGCUCUCAGAAGGGGUAUUUUCUAUGACGCGCGAUGCGGAGCAGACCAGGAUGGGUUUGCUUUUUAACAGGGAAACAACGAAAACGACAUCAUCUUUGAAACACGGAGCUGACGAGGAGGAGGCUUGUAGCUAACGUUAACAGGGAAACACCUAAAUCUAGGUCCUGCAUCUUCUUUGACUCGUGACCUGCUCGUGACGCAUUUCAAAAAGCAGUGCAGAGUGCAGACACGGAGUUUGCUUUUAACAAUAAAAACACCGAUUAACAGACCUAACGUUAACGUAUAAAACAGAAGAACAACUCCACAAACUGCGGACCAACAAUGCACGUGGAAUUUGCACUUUAUUUCCUUAUUUGGAGGACCAAUCUUUUUAGAAUGGGAGCAUUUCUAUGAUGCACUAUGAUUUCUAUGAAGUGACUAAGGGUACCAGGCUUGGUGUUUAAAGACUGUACAGACUAGAACCUGGUGAUGGAAAGAGAACAGAUAAACUCAACUGAUUGGAAAAUCUCUGCCCAUCACCUGCCCCCAACAUACAAAGCCACAAGACGGGAACACCGAUCCUUCCGGAAUCCGACGGCUGACAAUUUAGUGAGAUUUCUUAAGGUACCCAGUCCUACAGGAUUUUUCGAGAAAGUUGGAUCUACACAGCUUUUGCUGCUCUGUGAAACAACUAUGCACUGAACUUUACUGUUAGUGACUGGAGACACACAACUGAUCCACUCAUAUCCUGCUACUGUUCUUCAUCUGCUGAAUGUUUUUGACUCAAGCACUGCUGUACUGUUGCAAAGUCAAAGGUACUGAAUCAACUUCACUGACACAGGACUCACAUUCACUGAUAUGUUCAGGACACCAUUUGAUCACAAUAUAUAAUUCUGAUUACAGUGCAUUCAUCGUUUAUUUUAAAAGUUAACCUAUGAUGUAAACGUGUUUGUUCGGUAAUAAAAAAAAUAGUUUGCUUGAAACAACUGUUUACAUUUGCCUUUAUUUUCAACUUUACAAUGAACUGAAUUCUACUAUGAUCCCAUACUUUCUGGAUUGUUUUGAAAUAAAGUUUUGAAA
Long non-coding RNA from Pimephales promelas (fathead minnow), 1425 nucleotides. RefSeq lists it as uncharacterized. The record is from RefSeq and is a predicted model, not a curated record. Lineage: Eukaryota; Metazoa; Chordata; Actinopteri; Cypriniformes; Leuciscidae.